GACGAACGCUGGCGGCGUGCUUAACACAUGCAAGUCGAACGGAAAGGCCCUGCUUUUGUGGGGUGCUCGAGUGGCGAACGGGUGAGUAACACGUGAGUAACCUGCCCUUGACUUUGGGAUAGCUUCAGGAAACUGGGGCUAAUACCGGAUAGGAGCUCCUGCUGCAUGGUGGGGGUUGGAAAGUUUCGGCGGUUGGGGAUGGACUCGCGGCUUAUCAGCUUGUUGGUGGGGUAGUGGCUUACCAAGGCUUUGACGGGUAGCCGGCCUGAGAGGGUGACCGGCCACAUUGGGACUGAGAUACGGCCCAGACUCCUACGGGAGGCAGCAGUGGGGAAUAUUGCACAAUGGGCGGAAGCCUGAUGCAGCAACGCCACGUGCGGGAUGACGGCCUUCGGGUUGUAAACCGCUUUCGCCUGUGACGAAGCGUGAGUGACGGUAAUGGGUAAAGAAGCACCGGCUAACUACGUG
RNAcentral lists this ribosomal RNA (468 nucleotides) under uncultured bacterium. Its description in RNAcentral is "partial 16S ribosomal RNA". It matches the Rfam family "Bacterial small subunit ribosomal RNA", at positions 28 to 507 of the family's 1533-position model. The record is from RNAcentral.